UCGUUGGUGCCACACAGUACUGCUGGCGAGACAUUUUUGUCAGAUGGCAGGGGAUUUCUCAAAUGUGUAGACUUUCUAAUUCGAGCAUUUCCGGUGCUCAAAAUUACAAAUCAUUUAUUAAACAUGAUGCACAAAAAAAUAAUUUAAUUUAAAAAAUUAAAAUUUUUGUCCAAAAAAAAUCUGAGCACCUCUACUGCUCACAAUUGCAAGUCAUUUUAAAUUUUCUUGUCUUUUAUGGCCUCACCCAUUUUUGGUUGUAUUCUUCAGACAGAAAGAAUAAAUGAAGAACAAAAAUUGUGCACUCAAUCCAUAGGACCACUUACAGGAUUUUUUUUAAUAGGGUAUUUGAACCCAAGGGGUGCUGGUGUUUCUGAAAAAAGCACAUUUGUAAUUACAUCAGGUUCAAAUGCUGGGCCACAGGAUUCGAACUGGGACCAUUACCGUACAGUGAUGAGUGCCGUAUCACACCUAAAUCUUUGCGGCCACCAACCCCCCCUCCAGAUGGUUUAAAAAGUUUGUAGAAGUUAACUUCGUCGUAGAAUCGUCCCCUAAAGAAAAUAAUUGUGAUAAUGAGUGUAUGUUAAUUACUGGUCGUAAGUAUACGCACCAUUAUCAAGGCUUAUUAUCUUGUUAAAUUUCUGCAACUCGUCAUUAGCUAGGACUAUAUACAUGAAAUUUCCAACUAGUAGGGACACACCAGCAAAGAAAUAAUAUAAGCACCAGUCUUUCUCCUGCAUCUGAAAUCGAUUUGUCGUCGUACUUAUAGAAUUGAAGGAAAUAAACGCAAUGGCUUACGUCAAUCAUCAGCACACUGGUCAUGAACAUACGCCCCAAUAAUACUGGUAUGUUGCCGAUCGUUUUGGAAAACCCGAUGAGAAAUCCACUAAAGUUCGGUGCAAGAUCGAAGUGGGUGAGCCAAGCCCCGACAUUAUUAAAUGCUGUUGUGAAGAACAUCAAGUUGUAAAAUAUUAAACCGCUACCAGCCGAUUGAAUAUAACAAAUGAAGAAAAGACAGAUUGAAGAACCCCAGAGUCCUGGAAACCAAUAAAUAUAAAAAUAAUUUAAA
Molecule: long non-coding RNA, 1066 nt
Organism: Cimex lectularius (bed bug)
Lineage: Eukaryota; Metazoa; Arthropoda; Insecta; Hemiptera; Cimicidae
Exons: 2
Source: RefSeq, a predicted model, not a curated record